AGGAUCGCAAUAUGCUGACUAUCAGGCUCAGAAAGUCUUUUUGCUACGAAACCAUAUAGAACAAUUGCAUUAAAAUAGAACGAAGAGACAAUGAAGAUGACAUGGAAUUCAUCAACAUGCUUUCCUUGAUCUACACAACCGCCUGCCCCAUGCUGCUGGCAGAGCAGUCUGUUCUCUUGGCCUAUGCAGAUGCAUAAAUGUAUAUUUACUCACAGAAGUCCAAUUCAGUUCAAACUUUCAUAAACUGUAUAUACAAUCCUAGCGACAAGGCAUUGGUUAAAAUAAUGUUAUCUGCAAGGACAAUGUACGGAUCUGCUAUUUAGAUUGCUGCCACCAUCUUUACUUAGCAUUUGAUUUGACUCAUAUUUCAUCAACUACAUAAUGUAAUUUUUUGACUGCUUAUUCUUCCUAUAUUUUUCUCUGCAUGUACAAUUACCACUAGCUAUUACAGCACCUAUCACCAUGAUAAUACCCAUAUACUGCCUUGGUUGUUUUGGUGCAAAGCCUGGAUGAAGGACUCACAUUCAUCUGUUGGGCUUGCUCCUUGUCUUCGGGGGUGGCAAG
RNAcentral lists this long non-coding RNA (564 nucleotides) under Homo sapiens (human). RNAcentral describes it as "HSALNT0102481". The record is from RNAcentral. Lineage: Eukaryota; Metazoa; Chordata; Mammalia; Primates; Hominidae.